Molecule: ribosomal RNA, 406 nt
Filed under: uncultured bacterium
Lineage: Bacteria
Description: partial 16S ribosomal RNA
Rfam family: Bacterial small subunit ribosomal RNA
Source: RNAcentral
AUCGAACGCUGGCGGCAGGCUUAACACAUGCAAGUCGAGCGAGCGGCGGACGGGUGAGUAAUGUCUGGGAAACUGCCUGAUGGAGGGGGAUAACUACUGGAAACGGUAUCUAAUACCGCAUACCAUCAGAUGUGCCCAGAUGGGAUUAGCUAGUCGGUGGGGUAAUGGCUCACCUAGGCGACGAUCCCUAGCUGGUCCGAGAGGAUGACCGGCAACACGGGAACUGGGACACGGUCCAGACUCCGACGGGAGGCAGCAGUGGGGAAUAUUGCACAAUGGGCGCAAGCCUGAUGCAGCCAUGCCGCGUGUGUGAAGAGGGCCUUCGGGUUGUAAAGCACUUUCAGCGAGGAGGCGUUACUCGCAGAAGAAGCACCGGCUAACUCCGUGCCAGCCGCCGCGGUAAUUC